This 993-nucleotide long non-coding RNA is filed under the name Lynx canadensis (Canada lynx). RNAcentral describes it as "lncRNA (ENSLCNG00005001362.1)". Lineage: Eukaryota; Metazoa; Chordata; Mammalia; Carnivora; Felidae. The record is from RNAcentral.
AAAAAAAAUUAAAAAAAAAAAAAAUUAAAAAAAAAAAACAAAAAUGGAUUUAAGACCUAGAAUUGACAAAUUACAAAUUUCACUUCUAAAUCAACAAUUGCUAUUUUUAUUGAUCGCAGCCAAUUUCUUUGUUUCCUACUUUAAGGCCCCCGAGUAUUUCUCUUAAAGACACACUUAAAUUCCUCUGGAAGUAAAAGGUUAUACUUGACAGGAGAAAGAGAAAUUAUAUUACCUAUAAGGUAUACUGCUCUAGAAAAAAUGAGAAAUUUUUUAUUACUUAUAUAAAAAUACACACAAUUGGAACUUUCUAGCCAAUAUUUAUAUUUUAUAUCUAAAAGUCUUAACACAGUCUGCUUUAAUAAGGGCUGCCUGAAAUGGUGCUUUUAAAAAUGCAAUGAAGGUGGGCACCUGAGUGGCUCAGUCGGUUAAGCGUCUGACUUCGGCUCAGGUCAUGGUCUCAAGGUUCAUGGGUUUGAGCCCCACAUCAGGCUCUGUGCUGACAGCUUAGAGUCUGGAGCCUGUCUUCAGUUUCUUUGUCUCCCUGUCCCUCUCCUGCUUGCUCUGUCUCUCUCUUUCAAAAGUAAAUAAAAACUAAAAAUUCAAAAAAAAUUAAGGCAAUGAAGGUAAACAAUGUAAUGUUGAAGUAACAAAUGUAUAAUGUAUACAUAUCACUUGUUUUAUGUAUUUUGUUAGGUUUUCUACUUACAGAGAAAGUGAAAUCCUCUCAAAAUUAACCACUGAUGGACAGAAGUAGAGUUUUCUUGCUGAAACUCUGGGGAUUUAAAAUGAGCAUCUUUUGCACGACCUUCUUACACGAAAAACAGUUGAAACUUAAUGUUCCACAUCAUUCUGCCAUGCAUUAUCUAAAUAAACCUUUGUGAGCUUCAUGGCAUCCAUUUUGAAUUUUCUUGCCCAGCGUAACUAGGGAAGACUACAUCCUCUAGGACCACAUGUACACAGCUGUCAGAGUGUGGUUUCUUGGAUGCAUUUAUU